This 74-nucleotide transfer RNA is filed under the name Flavobacteriales bacterium. RNAcentral describes it as "tRNA-Arg". It matches the Rfam family "tRNA". Rfam says of the family: Transfer RNA (tRNA) molecules are approximately 80 nucleotides in length. Their secondary structure includes four short double-helical elements and three loops (D, anti-codon, and T loops). The record is from RNAcentral. Lineage: Bacteria; Pseudomonadati; Bacteroidota; Flavobacteriia; Flavobacteriales.
GGGCCCGUAGUUCAAUUGGAUAGAAUGACAGAUUCCGGUUCUGUUGGUUGGGGGUUCGAGUCCCUCCGGGCUCA